GAACGAACGCUGGCGGCAGGCCUAACACAUGCAAGUCGAACGCUGCAGCAAUGCAGAGUGGCAGACGGGUGAGUAACGCGUGGGGAACCUUCCCAGUGGUACGGAAUAGCCCAGGGAAACUUGGGGUAAUACCGGUAUAACGGCCCCUAGGGGGAAAGAUUUAUCGCCAUUGGAUGGGCCCGCGUCGGAUUAGCUAGUUGGUGAGGUAACGGCUCACCAAGGCAACGAUCCGUAGCUGGUUUGAGAGAAUGACCAGCCACACUGGGACUGAGACACGGCCCAGACUCCUACGGGAGGCAGCAGUGGGGAAUCUUGGAC
This 318-nucleotide ribosomal RNA is filed under the name uncultured bacterium. RNAcentral's name for it is "bacterial SSU rRNA". It matches the Rfam family "Bacterial small subunit ribosomal RNA", at positions 27 to 369 of the family's 1533-position model. The record is from RNAcentral.